UCCCCGUUACCGGGGCAGUCUGGCUAGAAAAAUACAACUAACCAUAAGGGUUGCGCUCGUUGAUGGACUUAACCAAACAUCUCACGACACGAGCUGACGACGGCCAUGCAUCACCUGUCUUUAGGUUCUAAAAGCACUCACUACUUUCGUAGUAAUUCCUAAGAUGUCAAACCCUGGUAAGGUUCUUCGCUUACCAUCGAAUUAAACAACACGCUCCACCGCUUGUGCGGGUCCCCGUCAAUUCCUUUAUGUUUUAGUCUUGCGACCGUACUCCACAGGCGGGAUGCUUAACGCGUUAGCUUUACUACCGAAGGGGUCGAUACCUCCAACAGUUAGCAUCCAUCGUUUACGGCGUGGACUAC
This 362-nucleotide unclassified non-coding RNA is filed under the name uncultured bacterium. RNAcentral describes it as "contains 16S-23S intergenic spacer region". The record is from RNAcentral.